GACGAACGCUGGCGGCGUGCUUAACACAUGCAAGUCGAACGGAAAGGCCCUGCUUUUGUGGGGUGCUCGAGUGGCGAACGGGUGAGUAACACGUGAGUAACCUGCCCUUGACUUUGGGAUAACUUCAGGAAACUGGGGCUAAUACCGGAUAGGAGCUCCUGCUGCAUGGUGGGGGUUGGAAAGUUUCGGCGGUUGGGGAUGGACUCGCGGCUUAUCAGCUUGUUGGUGGGGUAGUGGCUUACCAAGGCUUUGACGGGUAGCCGGCCUGAGAGGGUGACCGGCCAGUGUGGGAUAGGAAUACGGCCCGGACGCCUCCGGGAGGCAGCAGUGGGGAAUGUUGCACAAUGGGGGGAGGCCUGUUGCAGAAACGCCGCGUGCGGGAGGCGGGCCUUCGGGUAUUAAACCGUUUUCGCCUGUGACGAAGCGUGAGUGACGGUAAUGUGUAAAGAAGCACCGCCUAACUACGUG
RNAcentral lists this ribosomal RNA (468 nucleotides) under uncultured bacterium. RNAcentral describes it as "partial 16S ribosomal RNA". It matches the Rfam family "Bacterial small subunit ribosomal RNA", at positions 28 to 507 of the family's 1533-position model. The record is from RNAcentral.